Long non-coding RNA from Protopterus annectens (West African lungfish), 603 nucleotides. RefSeq lists it as uncharacterized. Lineage: Eukaryota; Metazoa; Chordata; Ceratodontiformes; Protopteridae. The record is from RefSeq and is a predicted model, not a curated record. The transcript is spliced from 3 exons.
UGGAUGUAAUCCUAAUGAAUAUAAGAACGUCAUGAACAAGGCUCUUUUUUCACAAGACAACCUGUAGACUGGAAUACAGAAUAAUAACUUGGUAGCUUUUGCAUGAGUUGUCUUCUAGAUGCCGUGUUCCUGCUAAGAGUCUUAUUCUGGUCCUUCUUUUGGCAGAUGGCUGGUCUGCAGAAUUUGUGGGAGAGAUGGGCGGCCAUCAUUUUGCAGGCAAAGGAACUAUUCCAUGAAUUGCCUAGCAGUGGGGCUCCAGUGGGUGAAGAACCUGGUGAGUCCAGCUUUUGAAGAGAGGAUCGGUACCCAGAGAAAAGUGGGCAUGACAACAGAGAGAUACUGUCACAGUGGAUGUUCUGGCUGCUGGAGCGAUGCAUGACGUGGCUGCAGGAAAGGAAAUUGUCAUCCCGGGUCAUUCGUAUAUUCACUGGGCAGUGAAGUGGGAUGCAGUUAGGACGGCUGUCAAUGGAUUGGGUUUGCAGGUUCCAAGAUGGCCCUGGACAGUAACCAUGCACUCAUUGUUACUCCUAUUAUUAGAUAACUCUUCUGACCAUACAAACAAACAUUGAUCCUUAUAAACUGCUCAACAAUAAAAAUAACUGC